GCCGGGCGUGGUGGCCACACCUAUAAUCCCAGCUGCUCAGGAGGCUGAGGCAGGAGGAUCACAAGUUUGAAGCCAGCCUCAG
RNAcentral lists this small RNA (82 nucleotides) under Marmota monax (woodchuck). Lineage: Eukaryota; Metazoa; Chordata; Mammalia; Rodentia; Sciuridae. The record is from RNAcentral.